This 1837-nucleotide long non-coding RNA is filed under the name Solanum tuberosum (potato). RNAcentral describes it as "long non-coding RNA (STUB_LNC004472)". The record is from RNAcentral. Lineage: Eukaryota; Viridiplantae; Streptophyta; Magnoliopsida; Solanales; Solanaceae.
UCUGCCCCACAAUUCUAAUCUAGUAGUAAGAGCGUAACACAUAAUGUGUAGGUUAAGCACACGUCCAGUGUUCAAAUCCUGUUGUAGACAAAAGUUGUGCUAUUAAGUGGAGAAGAACAAAGAAGCAUGCUCAUUAUCUACCGAGUUUCGACUUGUGUACCAACAACCCUCCUGGACUCGAGAGAAUGUCUAAAUAAUUAUAAUCUAUAGAACAUCUAAUCCUCAAAUACGACACACAUCACAGGUUCAAAACUGGUUGCAUAAAAGAACUAAAUAGUUAAGUGGAGAAGAGUAAGAAACAUGCUCAUUAACACCGAGACACACUUCUAUCACAUAUAAAACAUUGAAAGUAAGCCCAAAAAGACUAAUUUAAGAAUCAAAAUAACCGAGAAACAUUGAAAGUAAGCCCAAAAAACUGAAAGAUCGAACCAACGGAAUGAAGUGUAUCAAGACCGCCAUUAGAAAUUCCUGGAACCAUUUCAAAUGCACUCCAAGAUGAAUUAUGUGCAUUAGCAAGGUUUUUCCACCUCUCUUCCAUAAAGAGACAGGGAGUAAAAGAUUGCAAUUUUUUAAGAUGAAAAGAUUAAAAAAAUCGAAAACUGAAGUGAUUGAAAGAAAUCUACCUCUUAAAUAACUUGAAAUCAUUUAUUGGAAAGAGAAAAGAUUGAAAUUCAAAAGUAGAUUAAUGAAAGUAAUUGUGGAGAGAUUUGUGGAGUGAAAAAAGGAAAGAAAAUCAUUAAUAGAAGAUUUCAAAUUAAUGUAUCCCAAAAAAGGAUUAAUGAGAGCAAAAAAGGGGAUUUUUGAUAUUUUUGAAUGGUAGGAAAAAUAAGAAAAUAUGAAAAUGAUGUGUAGUUAGAUAAUAUUUCCAAAAAUUAUAAUCAGUUGUCAUGCACCACAUACUUUUAUUUAAUCUGCAUAAACAACAUCCAAUAAUCCAAAAAUAAUAGUAUAAUAAUUAUAGUAGUUACAAAUCUAAAAAAACAUGUGAAAGAGAUGGAUUUGCUACUCACUCCUAUUUUUAAAAUAUCAUCUCAAAAUAUAUUAUUAUUAAAAUAUUUCUUUCGCAAAUACAUUCUUAAAAAAACACUUUAAUUCUUCUCCAAGAAGCCAUAAAUGUAAAACCUUUAUUUUUGUAUUGUUUGAUCUUUAAACAUUUAAUAGGAGUGCUUGCAUAAUUAAUUAAAGGCUAAUUAAAGAGCAAAGACAAACAUAUAAAAUAAUAUUUACACACAAGGUUAUUCAAUUGAAUUCGGAAUUUUUUGAUUUUUUACAUAAAUUAAAAGGACCAUCUCAAUUAUUCGGGACAGUUAUACACUUAAAUAAAAGUCCACGAUUUUGUUGAAACAAUGAUAAAUCGAUUCGAUUCGGGCAAUUUUCAUGUUCUUUUGACACACCUAGUUAAUAUGUCAAAGUGAAAGAAGAGGUCUGCCCCACAACUCUAAUCUAGUAGUAAGGGCGUAACACAUAAUGUGUAGGUUAAAGCACACGUCCAGUGUUCAAAUCCUGCUGUAGACAAAAGCGAGCAAAGAAACAUGCUCAUUAACACCGAGACACACUUAUCAUUAAGUACUCGAAAAUUUUGAAACUAAUGCACUGGCAAUACUGUGCAUCUUCACUGUCUAGAAGAUUGCCAUUGUGGACACCAACAAGUAAAAUCUAACGACGUGGAUGCCCGAACUUGGCCUGUUCAAUGAUCUUUAUACAAUGCUGAACAUCUAAAGUAAACAACACCAGAGACGGACUGUGAUUCUUCAACUUCAUAAACUGCGAGCAACCUUGUCAUACAGAUCGCGAGGCCAAUUCUGAUUCAAAUUGCUUGCAAGGAAGUUUGCAAUCU